GACGAACGCUGGCGGCGUGCUUAACACAUGCGAGUCGAACGGAAAGGCCCUGCUUUUGUGGGGUGCUCGAGUGGCGAACGGGUGAGUAACACGUGAGUAACCUGCCCUUGACUUUGGGAUAACUUCAGGAAACUGGGGCUAAUACCGGAUAGGAGCUCCUGCUGCAUGGUGGGGGUUGGAAAGUUUCGGCGGUUGGGGAUGGACUCGCGGCUUAUCAGCUUGUUGGUGGGGUAGUGGCUUACCAAGGCUUUGACGGGUAGCCGGCCUGUGAGGGUGACCGGCCACAUUGGGACUGAGAUACGGCCCAGACUCCUACGGGAGGCAGCAGUGGGGAAUAUUGCACAAUGGGCGGAAGCCUGAUGCAGCAACGCCGCGUGCGGGAUGACGGCCUUCGGGUUGUAAACCGCUUUCGCCUGUGACGAAGCGUGAGUGACGGUAAUGGGUAAAGAAGCACCGGCUAACUACGUG
Molecule: ribosomal RNA, 468 nt
Filed under: uncultured bacterium
Lineage: Bacteria
Description: partial 16S ribosomal RNA
Rfam family: Bacterial small subunit ribosomal RNA
Source: RNAcentral